AAACAAUAACAAAAUCAGCUGCAAAACAGAGUUUGUGCCACGCAAAAAAAAGGAAAUAACAAAUUGAUUGUUGAAAGGACGUCCAGGAAUAUUUUUGGCCAGACAGAGAGAGCUACGUUCGCACAAGGUACAGGAGCAAACAGGCAGCAGACAUGUCUUGGCUGAACAACAGCCUCAACUCCAUCAAGGGCCAGCUGACGAAUCUGGCCCAGGAAGUGCUGGCCGACACUGCCGGACCAGGCGACGAGGACUACCGCGGCGCGGAUACUGAUACAAAGACGGCCUUGGACCUGCUGGCGGAGUCGCAACACCAAAAGGAACAGCUGGACCAGCUCUGUGGGGACAAGGAUCGCGAGAUUGCUGCACUUCGGAGGCAAAUUACAAAACUGAAUAGCCAACAAAUUGGCGACGGAUUCGUCACACCAUCAUCAUCUGUAGCAGGAGCCGCCACAACAGCCGCAGAGCCUCUGAAACAGCCGCAGCGGAAGGCCGCUGAAGACCAGAAUGUGGAGGACAGCUGGGAGUGCUGGGACGACGGCGCCGACGGAUCCGAGGGACAGGGAGACGCCACAGCAGCCGGAACAGCCGGGACAGAAAACUCGGGGGCGGGACUCGUGGACAUAGCCCUGGGCAACAGCGAUGUGUCCCGCCUGAACGAUCGCAUCGCGGAGCUGGAACAGCUCAACGCACAGUUGAACGCCUCGUUGGAGGAGCUGGACGCCCAGCACGAGCUGGCCAUGCGGGAUGUGCUGGGGCGCAAAGAGCAGCUGCAGCUGCAGGUGGGGGAGCUGAGGCAGCGGCAGGCGGACCGCAUGGUCGAGCACGAGAUGGCCAUUGCCCGGCAGCAGAAGCAGCUGGAGGAGCACAGCAGGGCGGAGAGUGCCCUGGCGGCGGCCAAUGAGGAGCUGCAGCAGAAGCUGGAGCAGCAGGCGCUGGAGCUGAAGCAGGGAGUGCUGGAGCUGGCCGGGAUGCAGGAGCUGCUGGAAAAGCGGGGCGCGGACAAUGGCGAGCUGAUCGAUCGCGUUCGCCUGGCCGAGGCGGAGCGGGAGAAACUGCUCAAGGAGCUGGAUGACCUCAAGCUGGCCAAGGAGAAAAAGACCUCUGAGUCGUCCUCUAACAGCUCCUCCACCUCCACCAAGCACAGUGAGGACGAGUUCAUUGUGGUGCGACAGGCGGAUGCCAUCUCCGGCUCCGGCUCCGGCUCUGGCUCCGAUCCAGACCCCGAUCCGGACCCCACGCAACCCCCGUCUAAGGAGAAGCUGCGCGACAAGCUCGUGGCCCUCGAGACGCGCAUCGCGGAGCUCAGCCUGGCCAACAGCCAGCUGCAGGACGCCCAGCUGGAGAAGGAGCUCUCCUCCAGCCUUCUGGGCGAUCAGCUGGCCGAGCUGGAGACCCGCCUGCGCAUCAGCGAGGGCGAGAAGGAGCAGCUGCAGCUGGAGCUGCAGUUCAAGCUGCAACAGCUCACCAUGCAAAACCAGGAGCUCAAGCUGAACGCCGAGGCGGAGCAGGAGACCCACACGCACGACUUGGAGCAGCAAAUGGACACCCUGCGCGCCGACAAUCGGCGACUGCGCCAGGAGCUGGACGCCAGCAUAGCCCAGGCCAAGUUCCGGCAGGCCAUUGCCGAGGAGAAGCAGGAGAUCACCGACCUGGACGACGCCGAGGCGGACGACGAGGACGAGCUGGAGAAGCUUCGGUCCCUCCUGCAGGCCCAGAUUGAGGACCGCCUCUCCACGGCAGCGCCGCAGCAGAGCCUGGAGCGGGCCUACCGCGUCCUGAGCGAGCGCUGGCAGCGCCUCGACGUCGCCGAGAAGCGGCUGCUGGAGCUGCAGGACCAGCAGCGGAUCAGCGAUCACGAGAAGAAGACCUUGGAGGCAGACAUCUCGCAGUACAUUCUUCAGUGCGACGAUCUGAUGAAGAACAACGAGGUUCUACUCAACGAACUGGACAAGUUCAAGCGCAACAAGCUGGAGACCAUCGAGGAGCACCACGAGGAAACCAUUGUUCAGCUGGAGGGCCAGCUGGAGGAGGCCAGGCGCCGCCUUGAGACGGCGCACGAAGCCCAGAAGCGGCUCCAAUUGAAGCUGGAUGCGGAGGCGUCCCAGGCGGAGAAAGAGAAGGAGCAGGAGGACGACCGAGGCCAGAAGGAACAGGAGCUGAAAGAGUGCCGGACCAGGCUCUCCCAGAAGGAGUCGCAGCUAGAAGAGAUGCAGCGGCAGGUGGAAGAGCUCCACGCUGCCCAGGAGUACCACAAGUCCCAUCUGGCGAAGCUCCACGACCAGAUCCAUGCCAAGGACGCGCAGCUGGAGGAGCAAUGCUUGCAUUUGGAGCAGCUCAAAGCGCAGAUCAAUGGCAAGGACGAGCAACUGGGAGGGAGAGACUAUGAGCAGAUCUUUGAGCUGGAGAGGCUCACAGAACAGAUCCAGGCCAAGGAAGAGCAGCUGGAGAAGCAGGCCACUGAUCUGGAGCAGCUCACAGAACAGGUCCAGGCCAAGGAAGAGCAGCUGAAGAAGCAGGCCACUGAUCUGGAGCAGCUCACAGAACAGGUCCAGGCCAAGGAAGAGCAGCUGGAGAAGCAGGCCACUGAUCUGGAGCAGCUCACAGAACAGGUCCAGGCCAGGGACGAGCAGCUGAGCACAUUUCAGCAGAGCGAGGAUAAGUUGAAGCAAAUGGUCCAGCAGACCUACGACAGCCUUAGCCAGGAGAAGAUAGAGCUGAUCCACGCGGUCCAGCAGAAGCACGCGGAGAACACCCAGUACUAUGAGGAGAUCCAGCGCCUGCAGCCUUUCGCGCAGCAGGUCGCCGAGCUGGUCCGCGAGCGCGAGACGCUGCAGGAGCAGGUGAGGAGAGUGCAGGAGCUCAAGGAGAAGUCGGAAAUGCGCAUCACGAGCCUGUUGGCGGAGCAGAGCAGCCAGGCCCAGGCGGCCCGGGAGGCCCAGGAGCAGCAGGCAAGCGUCCAACGCGAUCUGGAGCGGCUGCGUGCCCAUCUCCUCGAGGUGGAGGAGCUGCACACCCAGGAGACAGUGGACCUGCAGCGCGAGCUGGACGAGUCGCGCACCAAGCUGACGGUCCUCCAGCAGGAGGUCUCCAAGUCGAGCACCGCGUACACUUCAGCCAGCAUUCGGGCGAACCAACAGGCGGAGACGCUGCAGACCCAGCAUGCCCUGCUCCAGCAGCAGCGGGACGAGCUGCUGGCCAAACUGGGGCAGUGCGAGGACCGCGAGAUGAAGCAGCAGGCGGCACUGACCAAUCUGCAGUGCGCCCUGGAACAGUUCCAGAACGACAAGGAGCACGACAUUGAGAUGGCCACCCAGCGCAUCCGCCGCGAGAUGAAGGCCCACUUGGACAGGCAGGACCGACUGCAGGCGGAAAUGGAGGCCAUGCAGCAGCAGCUGGCGGAGGCCAAUCGGGGACUGCGGGCGGCGGCGCGCCUCUCCGACCAGCUGGAGGCGGGACAGCAGACGAUCGCCGUGCUCAGGGAUGAAGUGGAGAGCCUGAAGGAGGCGAACGACCAGCUGGAGAAGAUGCUCAACAGCAGCGAGAGCAGCCAGACGGACAAGAUCGACAAGAGCCUGAUCAAGAGCCUGGUGAUCGGCUAUGUGGUGAGCGGAAAUGCUGCUGACAAGCAGCAGGUGUUGCGCCUGAUUUCUUCUGUGCUGGAGUUCUCCACCCAGGAGUUUGACAAAGUGGGUCUAAAUAAACAGCAGACCAGCUGGCUGGGAGCCAUACUCGGCGGUGGACCAGUGUCGGGGGGCUCAGGCCCGGGCCGCGGCAAUGAGAAUUUGGUGCAGGCAUUCGUGCAGUUCCUCGAGCAGGAGUCGCAGCCACAGACGGCGGCUCAGCUGCGACCGACCCUCCUUGGCAUGACUGGUCAGGUGGACACGGCCCCCCCGCCCCCACAUCCCCAGCCACACCCACACUCACACCCACACCCACACCCAGCGCAGGCAGCAGCAGGGCAUGCUGCUUCAGCAGUGCCUGCGGGUCAGGACCACGGCUCAGCGCCGCCACUAUCUCUUCCAGCAUCGGGAAUGGGCGCGGGUGCCGUUGCCGGUGCCGGUGCAGGACAGUCAGGACAGCUAACAAUAAGCUCCAAUGAAUUUGCACCCUCACGCAACUCCAGUUCGAUAUUGAAGGAUAUUCUCAGCGACUCCUGAUUCUUGUAGAAAGCCAGACUCCAUGGCCUGCUCUCCGCCCUUGAUUUUGAAUAAUUUUAACAUAUUUUUUUCUAUAUAUUUAAAUUGUAUGCGUGAAAUCUGUAACCCAAGCAUAUACCCAUGUUUAUUUCGGCAUAUAUCUCCGUUCCCCCAACUGUGCAAUGUCUGUGUAUGUGUGGACCAUUAGCAAUUUGUAAAUAUGUAAUAUCCAAUUUGAAUAUGCCUUGGCGGCGGAAGGUAUGCCUGUGCUUGCCUCCCGCCUGCCAUGGACACGCCUUCACAGGGGCCUUGCUAAGAAGUAGCCUAGCCGCCAAUCAAUAAACGAAUCAAAAAAGAAAAAAUAAACUACAUAUAUUGGACAUUUUA
RNAcentral lists this unclassified non-coding RNA (4523 nucleotides) under Drosophila pseudoobscura pseudoobscura. RNAcentral describes it as "GA22886". Lineage: Eukaryota; Metazoa; Arthropoda; Insecta; Diptera; Drosophilidae. The record is from RNAcentral.